GAAACCUAUUUGAACGACAGUAGAAGCCUAGUUAAACAACAACAAUAAUUAGAUGUAUAAUGUGUAGAGACAGGCCGUUCUUAGUUGGUGGAGCGAUUUGUCUGGUUAAUUCCGAUAACGAACGAGACUUUAACCUGUUAAAUAGUAGACUGGCCCUCUGUGCUCGUUCAGGGCGCGGCUUCUAUUGCUUCUUUAUGGAGUAGUGUGGUCGUGAUCCGGCGGGUGUGGUGCCAGGGACAAGCGGCACACUUAAGUCACACGAAAUCGAGCAAUAACAGGUCUGUGUGCCCUUAGAUGUCCGGG
This 303-nucleotide non-coding RNA is filed under the name Schistosoma margrebowiei. Its description in RNAcentral is "Eukaryotic small subunit ribosomal RNA". It matches the Rfam family "Eukaryotic small subunit ribosomal RNA", at positions 1210 to 1485 of the family's 1831-position model. The record is from Rfam by way of RNAcentral. Lineage: Eukaryota; Metazoa; Platyhelminthes; Trematoda; Strigeidida; Schistosomatidae.